UUUAACUCGACGGCCCACAGUACAAGAGGCCACGGCCUCGCGCCUCUCCCCAACCACGGAAACCCUAAUCCCUCUCCACCCACAGCUGCCGAUUCCUCUCCCUCUCUGCUCCCGAUUCAGAUCCAACCCUAGUCCACCUCCAGCCACAGCCGCCGCCUCCUCUCCCUCUCUACUCCAUCCAUGCGGGGUUGCCAUCCCCACGAUCUACUGCGCUGCUGUCCCAACCAUCUUCCACUCCACCUCCGUCUCCCACCCGCUAUCGCUCUUUCGCCGCCCCCACCCUCUCCCCCUAUGCAGCCUUCUCAGAUCCGCGAUGGGAACACGCGGUGGUAGCAGUGCUCCCGCAUCCGCGUCAAGGUCAGCCUUGUGCUCGUCAUCAUGGGCGCGGUGGUCAUGACGAAGGUGGUUGAGGUUGGCGAGAUGGACGUUGUCGCCUAUCCACUGCCCAGGACCAAGGACGGCUGCCAUUUUAAAAGUGGCAAAUUGGGAAAACGCACGGGCUCCUUCUCUAAUGCGUGCUCGCCUCGAUCCGUAAUGGCGCCGCCAUCGUCGGCGGAGUGUCUUCUUCUUCGGCCACCAUCCGCCGCCCUUUUCUCCUUCCCCUCCCUAUCCGGCCUUAAUCUUCUCCGGCGCCACCCGUAGCCUCCUCAAUCCCCAACCUACGCUCUCUGAUUUGGAUCGAAGUUGGAUUUGGAUCAAAGUUAGAUUCCGUGUUCUUCUCCAACACAAAGCCAUGGAGAGACUUGGUUGCCAUAAGAAGGAAGGAGCCUCGACCGGAAUCUCUAUCAGGUUACAUCCCUUGAACAGAAUCAACAUCGAGCUCUGCUGAGUUCGCCGGCUGAAGAAGAAUAUCCGUCAAGCCGUACAAUGUCGCCUCCGCUGAGUUCGUCGGAGGAACAACAUCCGACGUCUGAACGUGCAUCAGCAGAGGUAAUUGAGCUAGAACAAAAGAUAUUACACUUGAGUUUAGUUUAGAAGGGUAACUCCACUUGGGAUGGAACAGAUGAUACUACACUUAAGAUAGGGAACAACACAGAUUUUAUGUACCUAACUGUCUAGUCUGAUUGUGAUAUGUAAUUGUAAUCGGUUAUGGUGAUCUGAAUUUUGUAGUUGUCAAUCUGUAUUUGUACACUAUAUUUGUCA
This is a long non-coding RNA of Triticum aestivum (bread wheat), 1143 nucleotides long. RefSeq lists it as uncharacterized. NCBI's taxonomy places the organism in Eukaryota, Viridiplantae, Streptophyta, Magnoliopsida, Poales, Poaceae. The transcript has 2 exons. The record is from RefSeq and is a predicted model, not a curated record.